Molecule: ribosomal RNA, 492 nt
Filed under: uncultured bacterium
Lineage: Bacteria
Description: partial 16S ribosomal RNA
Rfam family: Bacterial small subunit ribosomal RNA
Source: RNAcentral
AGUGAACGCUGGCGGUAGGCCUAACACAUGCAAGUCGAACGGCAGCACAGUAAGAGCUUGCUCUUACGGGUGGCGAGUGGCGGACGGGUGAGGAAUACAUCGGAAUCUACUUUUUCGUGGGGGAUAACGUAGGGAAACUUACGCUAAUACCGCAUACGACCUACGGGUGAAAGCAGUGGAUCUUCGGACCUUGCGCGACUGAAUGAGCCGAUGUCGGAUUAGCUAGUUGGCGGGGUAAAGGCCCACCAAGGCGACGAUCCGUAGCUGGUCUGAGAGGAUGAUCCGCCACACUGGAACUGAGACACGGUCCAGACUCCUACGGGAGGCAGCAGUGGGGAAUAUUGCACAAAGGGCGCAAGCCUGAUCCAGCCAUACCGCGUGGGUGAAGAAGGCCUUCGGGUUGUAAAGCCCUUUUGUUGGGAAAGAAAAACAGCAGGUUAAUACCCCGCUGUUCUGACGGUACCCAAAGAAUAAGCACCGGCUAACUUCGUG